RNAcentral lists this small RNA (28 nucleotides) under Bombyx mori (domestic silkworm). RNAcentral's name for it is "ovarian small RNA-23943". Lineage: Eukaryota; Metazoa; Arthropoda; Insecta; Lepidoptera; Bombycidae. The record is from RNAcentral.
UAUGCGUCUCUCACGCGCCCUUCUGCGA